This is a long non-coding RNA of Molossus molossus (Pallas's mastiff bat), 260 nucleotides long. RefSeq lists it as uncharacterized. The transcript has 2 exons. The record is from RefSeq and is a predicted model, not a curated record. NCBI's taxonomy places the organism in Eukaryota, Metazoa, Chordata, Mammalia, Chiroptera, Molossidae.
UCAGGGAGGUGAAACAGCUUGCUUGCUGCCACCCAGCUUGGCACAGUGCCUGGCCUACGCAGAGAGGGGACGAGGAGCCGAGAAAGAAGGAACUCCAGGAUGCUCCUCAGACACAGGUCGUGAUUAUUCUGAAAGGUGACUGGUAGGAAAAGUACAGGAUUAUCUUUUUCAAGAAGCAAUCACAAGUCCUAAGAAGAUUUUCGACAAUGGAAAGGAUUUUUUUCUUCCUUGUAAUGAACAGAUUAAAAGCUUAAUCCCCA